GUCCUGCUGUGGGAGGAGGCUAAACACUGCGGGCAGUACUGGCAGGUGAGUGUUUCUCAUUGAAGUCAAAUGUUAACAAGUUAAAUAUAAAGCAAGUCAUAAAAGGUUUGACUUUAGUUAAGACGUUACCCUACUCUUAAAAGACGUGGCUAUGCUUUUCUGAAAGAGGUUUUCCCCUUUUGCAAGCACGUGUUUCUCUAGAAUUUCAGCACUAACUACAAUUAUCCAAAACAACUUUCAAAAGUGUCCUUCUAAUGCAUCUUUUCCAUCGUAGGGACACUGUUUGCUUUGUUUUAAUUUUGAAGUGGCAGAUGGGGUUGUUCAGAAGGAAAAUAUUGGGAGAAGAUAUUUAGUUGCUUAUAUGAGAUAACUGAUCAAGCAUUGGUUCAGCUGAAUGAACCGUAGCCUCUCAUGGACUGGCAAAGCAGCUGCACUGAAAUAGCAAUGCAGCAGCCACUGGGCUGCUGGUGAGCCGCCCUCCUAACGCGGCACAGAGUUGGCAUUUCAGCUGCACUUCACCCAGCCACUGCUGUCAAUCUGCUCGCUCCUCUCAUUUCCUCAGGACACCCUCUAAGUGUUGAGUUCCCUUUUCUUAUUGUUGCAGAAACAUGUUUCUUCUCCAGUCCAGAUUUAUGUAUGGCUUCAGCUUACAGUAUUUAUGUAACCACAGCGGCAGCCAGCAGCUAUGGUUUCGGUAACAGCUGGGCUCUGUUGAAUAGCACCUCCCCUGCGCUACCACUGCCACACUGCAGCGGCUCUGUAAAAGGCAUUCUGCACUUCCAUCUGAAGAGCCCCCUUCUUCCUGGGGGCAGCACUACCACAUUAAUGAACUGAUUUUUAUACAUCAUUUUUACCUGAUUUCAAUUAUUUUUAAGAAAAUAAACAGCACCGUUGCUCUGAAUGUUAUCAUUUCAUAAUUUAACUCCAGCUGUGGACAUGGCUAUGGCGCAAUGGAAAUGGCUUCAGCUCUGUUAAGCGUGUUUGUGAAUGGAGCCAGCCUUGUUUGCAUCCCUAGUUUUAUUUCCCUUAUCUAUCAUAGCAACAAUAACAAACCUGUUGUGAUGUAUCUUGGGAAACUAUCUGUAUGAACUGUAUCGCACACGUUGCAGGGUGAAGUGUUGAGAACUGUGUUCUACCCUUUAAAUAAAUCUGGAAACUUUCAGCAGCCCUUAUAUGCCCACCUGAGAGAAUUCUAGGUAGUACCUGCAAAGCUGACUGGGUUUCCUCAGCAAAAUUAUGCUAUAGCCCCCUGCGCCAGGAGUGAUGCCGGACACUCCACUGAGGCUAAAUUAUAGAUAUUAACAACAACCAGCCUUAACAAAAGGAGGGGGUUGUUUUGUUUUCUUACUCAUGCCUGGGAAAGGCAGUCAUUGCAUUUACCUUCUAAGUUCAGUGUCUAACAACAGGGGAGUUAGAGGGUUUUCUUCCCAGAAGCAUGUUGCAGGUGAGAUGUGGUAGAAAACCAGCAUUGUGCUGGCCUUUCUCGGUACUUUAAGACUUCUAUGAGUCAUUUCUUAACUCAGAAUGAUGAAUAUUCGCACCAGAUUUACAAACAAGCCGUUCAGUAGUAGUCCUAAUUCUAGAAGGUGGACUUUUUACAGACUGUCACCUCCUACUGCUUUGGCAACAUGAAUAAAUGAGGACCAAGAGACAAGAUUCUCUUCUUUGAGCUCCCUGAAAAUAUGACCUCUAGUAAUUUUACUGAUGUACUGCCCAUUCCCUCAGGCAGCGAACUUGACUGGUUAAAUGCAUUGUGUGUGAUGAUCCCUGUGCUCCUGGUGUGCGUUAACUUCAAAAUAAUUAGAAGUUGCUUUAUUUAUCUGUACCAAUCCAUAUUACUACAGCACAUCUAUAGUAAUUCACACUUUGUCAGAAAUCUGUUCUCAACUUCUUUAACUUUGUCCCAGUGCAAUAGGCCAUAAAAACCUUUUUCUCCUUGCCUUGGGACUCUUUAAAUAAAAACAAACACAUACAGAAUGUUAUCUGCAAUCCAGUAAACCCAGCCAGGUUGAUUUAACUUGAUGAUGUCCCACCCAUGUUUUUGAGGGGUCAUGCCAGUUCAGAAACACCUUUGUCAAAUCCUUUCUAUGGCAGCAUAUAAUAACUUACAGUAGUGAAUGAAUCACGUGCUUGGGGAAACAUAAAGCUUCAGUGCAUAUGAGAUCCCAAGGAAAGACUACAACAGGUGAUUUGAGCACUAACAAAGCUGAAUUAACUGACCUGUUACCAUCAGAUAUUACUGGAUAUCUGAAAAGGUAAAAAUGUUCAGUUCUUCUAACUACAUCGUACAGAUACAGUCAAAACUGAUUAUUUUUCUGACCAAAGAUAAGCCACUUGCACAUCUCCUUCAAUGUUUUUUUUUUUUUUUUCCACAACAUGUAUCUGAAGUAUCUCAGGUUAGUUCUACAUGAUGCAGGAAAAUAUCACAGUAUACCUGAUGCUGCUGCGUAGUGACAGCUGGUUGAUAAGUAUGUGAUUAUUAAGUUAUUUUUUAUGAAGUUCACUGUUUAACAACUGAUCAGCCAUAACGUAUUUAUUAUGGCAUGUAAGUCUAUAAAGUAUCAAUAAUGUAGAGUGAUUUAUUAUAGAGUAAUACUGAAGCAGCCUGUGGUAGUGUAGGUAGUGCCUCUGAAGCACAUGGUUUAUCAUGUCCUUACAACAACCUCACCCCUGCUCAUAUUUUCAAAAGAAGGAUGAAGUAUUAUAAUAGUUUAUUGUUUCAUUUUAUUUAAAAAUAGGACUUCUGCUUUCCCAAGGCUGUCAGGUGUAACUUAUUUCUCAAGGCAACGACAGUUACUGUUUGCAGCUGAUACCCAGUCACUCCAUUAGACAGCAAAAGCCCUGCAGCAAGCGUUCUGUUUUGUGGUAAGCUCAUGAUACAGUCACAGUAAGGAGAUACCUCAGGGGUGCUUUGAAGACGGUAAGGAUCUACUUAAUGACAAGUAUAUUCUUAUUUUUCUGUGGCUUCAGCUUCUCAGAGAUCUGAAGUUGGAGUCAUUUGUUUGUUUCACUGUUGUCAAAUUCACAUUGUCAAAUGUUUGUAUCUCUAAUGUGAAUUAUAGGACUUAUUUGUGUAUGUGUGUCUUCAGUUGCAGGUGCGAUUCUUCGCUAAACAACAGAUACAGCGUGGCAAGUGUUGAUAGAUAUUAACAUCAGUGCAGGUGUAGAACUUACACCAUAUGCAGAACCAGCACUUUCUUGCAGUCCCUGGGCUGAUGGGGAAACCCCUCUGUCUCAAAGCAAGCCACAUGUGAGGGUUUUGAACCAGCAUGCUCAAUAGAGACCUGUGAUAUCCACAUCUAAAUCUGCUCUGGUUACGCUCAGUACUCAAUUAGCAUGCUUCCACUUGGGUGUUUAUGAUUUUUGGUGCAUCGGUUGUUCCUUCUAUACUGCUGAAUCAGUAAGGCUGCCUGGCUGUUGCCACAGUGGAAGGUGUAUUUAAUUCAGUGACUGUGCUGUGACAUACAAAGAGGUGUUGUUUCUGAGAGCUCUUCUAGUCAUGGAUUCUGAAGAACUACAACCAGAAAGCUGUUAGUUUCAAACGCUUUGCAGUAAGUGUUUCAUUUACUACCAAAUGAAUGUCUGUUAAAAAAGGAUAUAUAUGUUUUCUUCCAAAAAACCUCACUUGUGGAUGGUAGCACAGACCACCUUCACAGCUCCCCUGGACAAAGCUAGGCAGCUGAGUAUUAAAGACCAGGGAUCCCAAAUAAUAACUAUUUGCACCCAAAGAUUUUACUGCUAUGUAUUUCCUGAUACCACAGUUAUUUCCUUUGGUCUUCUGCAUUCAUCCUCGUUAAAUGUGGUGUUCGUGCCAGAACACACAGAAAGCUCUUUAAUUAUAGUAUCUACAAAUCAUCUUUUCUCUCCACAGUAUCCCUAGCUUGCUCUUACAGAUUUCCGUAACCACCAGGAAUGCUGGAUGCCAGGGAGGAUGCAGAACCCAAGGAAAUCAAAAGGAGCCAUGAGUGUACUCUACAGGGCAAUGGCAGUAUUUGCCAGCUAUGGCUGCAAUACGUAUACACGGAAAGGAGAAAGUACAUGAAGUUCUACUUAAGGUUUUCCUAUGAGCUUCUACGGUUUUCUCUGGGAGCAUCACGAAGAGUUAGGCAACUCCAGAUUGAAAGACCCUGGCCUCAAGGGCUGAAGAAUAGAGCUACAUUGUAACAUCCUGAUACUUGCUGACAAUUUUCUCCCUUAAUAAAACGUUGCCGCUGUCCUCUCCAUUUAUAGCAUCAAAGAGAACCCUUCUAACCUCCUAAAUCCUGUUUUAGUGUCGUAGGCUACAGAUUAUUAGCCAAAGCACAACUGCAUUUGAUGUAGUUAUAUCAGGAAGAAACAUAAGUAACAUUUAUAAUGCAGAAAUACUUAAAAAAAUUUAUUAAAAUUUAUUAAAAUAUGUUUAAAAUUAAAAUUUAAAGCAUUUAAACUUCUGUGUGAGCUCCGAGGCAGCUCUGUCUUUGUGUAUUACUGAAUACGAAAUGCUGAGAGGAAUUGAUGUGGCGGUCUCCUUUUUCUCUAGUUACCCUCCUGCAGCACAGCGCAGCCCGCUGCCCCUACAGGACAGCCUGCUUCAUGACGUUGUCCCUCAAGAUCUCAUUCCACUGUUAAUUUUUUUGUUGUUGUUGUUAGAAUAAAACACCUUGAAGUCCUGCUCUGA
Molecule: long non-coding RNA, 4657 nt
Organism: Gallus gallus (chicken)
Lineage: Eukaryota; Metazoa; Chordata; Aves; Galliformes; Phasianidae
Exons: 2
Source: RefSeq, a predicted model, not a curated record